GUGCUUGCUUCAGCAGCACAUAUACUAAAAAUUGGAACGAUACAGAGAUUAGCAUGGCCCCUUUGUAAGUAUGACAUGCAAAUUUGUGAAGCGUCCCAUAUUUUU
Erinaceus europaeus (western European hedgehog) is the source of this 105-nucleotide small nuclear RNA. The record is from Ensembl. Lineage: Eukaryota; Metazoa; Chordata; Mammalia; Eulipotyphla; Erinaceidae.